RNAcentral lists this ribosomal RNA (405 nucleotides) under Liotyphlops albirostris. Its description in RNAcentral is "partial 16S ribosomal RNA". It matches the Rfam family "Bacterial large subunit ribosomal RNA", at positions 1970 to 2594 of the family's 2925-position model. The record is from RNAcentral. Lineage: Eukaryota; Metazoa; Chordata; Lepidosauria; Squamata; Anomalepididae.
UGUCUACUAAUUAUAGACUAGUAUGAAAGGAUGAAUGAGGGCCGAACUGUCUCUUGUAGUCAAUUAAUAAAACUGAUCCUUCAGUAAAAAAGCUGAAAUACCACUAUAAGACGAGAAGACCCCGCGAANNUUCAGGGGGGGGGCCACAACCCCUUGGCCCCGCACCUUCGGUUGGGGCAACCUCGGAAACAAACCAAACUCCCGAAACCAAGCCAAAGCCACAAAGGCCAACGCGCCAUCAUACGACCCAGCAGCAGCUGACCACUGAAACAAGUUACUCCGGGGGUAACAGCGCUAUCCUCUUUUAGAGCCCAUAUCAAAAAGAGGGCUUACGACCUCGAUGUUGGAUCAGGACACCCCAAUGGCGCACGCUAUCAAAGGUUCGUUCGUUCAACAGUUAACAGU